This is a long non-coding RNA of Nerophis ophidion (straightnose pipefish), 685 nucleotides long. RefSeq lists it as uncharacterized. The record is from RefSeq and is a predicted model, not a curated record. The transcript has 4 exons. NCBI's taxonomy places the organism in Eukaryota, Metazoa, Chordata, Actinopteri, Syngnathiformes, Syngnathidae.
GAGCUCGGAAUGCUCAAUGAACGUGUAGUGAGAGCAGUCCUGCUAGCACCAUAACAACACUUCCGCACCUCCUGGCCGGUAUCGGUUAGGUUCUGGUGCAAUUUUUGGACACAAUCACACACUAAUGUACUAAAACACAUAAACGGUCCGCGACACAACCAGGAACACUGACCCCUUGUGGUUGGUAGAAACACCAUGCAGUGUUUUAGUGAGUUUAACAGUACCUGACAGUCGGAAGGGUGUGUUGACGCGCAGUGUCUCAGGGGAGUCGACGGCAGCUAUGGACGGCACAAGCUCAGCUUUUCUCUGAGAGGAAGUGAUGUCAGAAAGAACGCGCCACAGCCAGCUUCAUAAUAAAGCGGUUUCAUAACACGGAGAUAUCCACUGGAAAUAUGAAGGAGAGUCAACGAGAAUUCGGGUUCCUGUUGAUGUGAUAAAAAAACGUAGCGUGUGCUUUGUAUUACCUGGCCGUCAAGGGAAGACUACAGAAAACGGCAAAUGCUUUUGGACUGGCAAAGCAGACUGUAUCAGUUAUUGUCCACCAUGUGUGUCACGGACUCCACGACUAGGUCCAGAGUAUAUAAAGUCACCAAAAAGGAAUCGACAAUGAAGGUGAAGGCAAAACAGUGAGGAGUGUCCUGACCACAUAUCUACAUCACUAGAUUGAUUGAUGUCAAAUGUUCUU